CCAUUAUAGAGGAUGGGAAAUGGGAAAUAACAGCGUAUACUGUAGUGAUACUGCAGUGAUGAUCAGUACGAUAUGGAACGUACGUGUACAUGACACUUCCUUAGCUACCGAAAUCCCAUGCGAAAGAAAAAUGAUAACCAAAUUGGACAGCCUUCAUGUGGGUAGGGCUAGAAUUUGCCACACAAAAACUUACCAAAUGGGACCAUAGACAAGAAGCUGUUAGCCAAUUAUUUGCUCUGAGUUAAUGGGUUAGGUGCAUCAGCAAGCCUCUCUCGCCUGCCUCUGCAUACCUUGUCUCUCUCAAAGAAUUAAAAGUUGAAACUAGUGAAGUACAACAUCAGGUCAAUUCCUUCUUGUCUGCGUUCCAGUUACUUGAUGAUCUAUGGCAGGCAUGGAUUAAAACAAUAUUGCAGUAAAUUUGAGAUUAUCUUUCUUUUAAGGGGAUAGACGUAGAAGGGGAUGCAUGGGGUACCCAGAUGCAUGUGGGGCAACUGCAUGCGUACACCUGAUCUUCUCUUGCACUAAUAUGCUGCACAUGCAUCAGCACAAAACACAGUGAACGCACCUAUUUCGUGAAUGUGCAAACUUUCCUGGGACUUGUUUAAUUUGCUCAUGGCAAUGGCUUACAUGCAGCACAGAGGAAAAUGAAGGAUUGGUUAUCACACUGGUUAUUUCAGAAUUGCAGGAAACGGGCAAGACAGAGACGAUAUCAGUUUAGCUAGUGAAAGAAAUUGCAAGCUGG
Molecule: long non-coding RNA, 742 nt
Filed under: Populus trichocarpa (black cottonwood)
Lineage: Eukaryota; Viridiplantae; Streptophyta; Magnoliopsida; Malpighiales; Salicaceae
Description: long non-coding RNA (PTRI_LNC002276)
Source: RNAcentral